RNAcentral lists this ribosomal RNA (529 nucleotides) under Serratia sp. (in: enterobacteria). Its description in RNAcentral is "bacterial SSU rRNA". It matches the Rfam family "Bacterial small subunit ribosomal RNA", at positions 956 to 1475 of the family's 1533-position model. Lineage: Bacteria; Pseudomonadati; Pseudomonadota; Gammaproteobacteria; Enterobacterales; Yersiniaceae. The record is from RNAcentral.
GUAUCGCGAAGAACCCUUACCUUCUCUUGUCAUCCUGAGAACUUAGCAGAGAUGCUUUGGUGCCUUCGGGAACUCUGAGACAGGUGCUGCAUGGCUGUCGUCAGCUCGUGGGUUGUGAAAUGUUGGGUUAAGUCCCGCAACGAGCGCAACCCUUAUCCUUUGUUGCCAGCGGUUCGGCCGGGAACUCAAAGGAGACUGCCAGUGAUAAACUUCGGUUACCUUGGUACGACUUCAUUAGUCAUCAUGGCCCUUACGAGUAGGGCUACACACGUGCUACAAUGGCGUAUACAAAGAGAAGCGACCUCGCGAGAGCAAGCGGACCUCAUAAAGUACGUCGUAGUCCGGAUUGGAGUCUGCAACUCGACUCCAUGAAGUCGGAAUCGCUAGUAAUCGUAGAUCAGAAUGCUACGGUGAAUACGUUCCCGGGCCUUGUACACACCGCCCGUCACACCAUGGGAGUGGGUUGCAAAAGAAGUAGGUAGCUUAAGCACUAUUUUACUUCGGGAGGCGCUAUCACUAGAUCAGUUCC